AAUACUACCUAGUGACCGAUAGCGUAUAGUACCGUGAGGGAAAGGUGAAAAGAACCCCGGGAGGGGAGUGAAAUAGAACCUGAAACCCUGCACUUACAAGCUGUGGAAGCACAUUUCUUGUGUGACCGCGUACUUUUUGUAGAACGGGCCAACGAGUUACGUUAAGUAGCCAGGUUAAGCACUUAAGGUGCGGAGCCGUAGCGAAAGCGAGUUUUAACUGAGCGUUCAGUUACUUGACGUAGACCCGAAACCGGGCGACCUACCCAUGAGCAGGA
This 275-nucleotide ribosomal RNA is filed under the name Clostridioides difficile. RNAcentral describes it as "partial 23S ribosomal RNA". It matches the Rfam family "Bacterial large subunit ribosomal RNA", at positions 469 to 745 of the family's 2925-position model. Lineage: Bacteria; Bacillati; Bacillota; Clostridia; Peptostreptococcales; Peptostreptococcaceae. The record is from RNAcentral.